Molecule: ribosomal RNA, 1277 nt
Filed under: Nierstraszella lineata
Lineage: Eukaryota; Metazoa; Mollusca; Polyplacophora; Lepidopleurida; Nierstraszellidae
Description: 16S ribosomal RNA
Rfam family: Bacterial large subunit ribosomal RNA (bases 841-1200)
Source: RNAcentral
GGAAAAUAUAGUAAAAGUUAUUUUUAAUUUAGUAUUUUUUAAAGAAAAAAAUAAUAUAAAGAAGUACCGUGAGGGAAAAAUAAAGUAAAAUAAUAGUAUAGUUAUAGUCUAGUACCUUUUGCAUUAUGGUUUGACUAGAUUAAUAUAAAUGUGUUUAUUUUCUAGAAAAUAAACGAGCUAUAUUGAAGCUAGGGUUUAUUGUAGUAAAAAUAAAUUUAGAUUUUUUUAUAGUGGUGACAUGCUUGUCGAGUUUAUUGAUAGCUAGUUAAAAGAGAAAUGUAUUUAAGUACAGGAAAAUGGUUAAAUUUUAUGAUUUAAAAUAAUUUGAAAUUAUCUUUUAUCUCAUGUCUUGGAGGAUAAGCUCUGAGGUAUCGCAGUAGUGGUAGUAUUUAUAAUAAUAAAACAUGUAGGUUUAAGAGUAACAAACAGAUAAAAUGUUUCGUAACAUUUGGUUAAUUUAAUUUGCUCUGGAAGAUUAUUUUUUUUAAAGUUGAAAUAGUUAAUAAAUUUUGUGUUUAUGUUAAAAUGAGUAUUAUUUUAAUUAAUUUGUUUUUGUUUAUUAAUAAAGAAACAAUUAAAAUAUAAGUUUAUAUAAAUAAAAAAAAGGAAUUCGGCAAAUAUAGGUUUCGCCUGUUUAACAAAAACAUCGCUUUUUGUAAGAAAAAAAUAAAAAGUCGUACCUGCCCAGUGAAUAUUAAAUGGCCGCAGUACUUUGACUGUGCAAAGGUAGCAUAAUAAAUUGUCUUAUAAUUGAAGACUAGAAUGAAUGGUUUGACGGAGCUUUACUGUCUCUUUUUUAUUACUUAGAAAUUAAUUUUAAGGUGCAGAAGCCUUAAUGAAAUUAAAAGACGAAAAGACCCUAUUGAGCUUAAAGAAAGAAGAAAAAGUUUUAUAGUAAUCGAUUUUUAUUUUUUUAUAUUUUUUGUUGGGGCGACAGAAGAACAUAAAAAGCUUCUUUUUAUUGGAUAAAUGUUUUUAUUAUUUUGAUCCAUGCAUUAUGAUUAAAAGAAUAAGUUACCAUAGGGAUAACAGCGUAAUCUUUUUGGAGAGUUCUAAUUGAAAAAAAGGUUUGCGACCUCGAUGUUGGAUUAAAGUUACUAAAGGGUGUAGAAGCCCUUGAAAGUCAGUCUGUUCGACUGUUAAACCUUUACAUGAUCUGAGUUCAAACCGGCGUGAGUUAGGUUGGUUUCUAUCUUUAAUUUAAAAGUAAAUAAUCAGUACGAAAGGACCUUUAUUUAUAAAUAAUUUGUGUUGAUAGAAUUAAUUUAAAAUUAGAU